Molecule: transfer RNA, 73 nt
Filed under: Stegodyphus mimosarum
Lineage: Eukaryota; Metazoa; Arthropoda; Arachnida; Araneae; Eresidae
Rfam family: tRNA
About the family: Transfer RNA (tRNA) molecules are approximately 80 nucleotides in length. Their secondary structure includes four short double-helical elements and three loops (D, anti-codon, and T loops). Further hydrogen bonds mediate the characteristic L-shaped molecular structure. tRNAs have two regions of fundamental functional importance: the anti-codon, which is responsible for specific mRNA codon recognition, and the 3' end, to which the tRNAs corresponding amino acid is attached (by aminoacyl-tRNA synthetases). tRNAs cope with the degeneracy of the genetic code in two manners: having more than one tRNA (with a specific anti-codon) for a particular amino acid; and 'wobble' base-pairing, i.e. permitting non-standard base-pairing at the 3rd anti-codon position.
Source: Rfam by way of RNAcentral
GCCUUCGUAGUGUAGUGGUCAGCACACUCGACGUGUAACCGAGAGGUCCGUGGUUCGAUUCCCGGCGAAGGCG